Molecule: ribosomal RNA, 492 nt
Filed under: uncultured bacterium
Lineage: Bacteria
Description: partial 16S ribosomal RNA
Rfam family: Bacterial small subunit ribosomal RNA
Source: RNAcentral
AGUGAACGCUGGCGGUAGGCCUAACACAUGCAAGUCGAACGGCAGCACAGUAAGAGCUUGCUCUUACGGGUGGCGAGUGGCGGACGGGUGAGGAAUACAUCGGAAUCUACUUUUUCGUGGGGGAUAACGUAGGGAAACUUACGCUAAUACCGCAUACGACCUACGGGUGAAAGCAGGGGAUCUUCGGACCUUGCGCGAUUGAAUGAGCCGAUGUCGGAUUAGCUAGUUGGCGGGGUAAAGGCCCACCAAGGCGACGAUCCGUAGCUGGUCUGAGAGGAUGAUCAGCCACACUGGCACUGAGACACGGUCCAGACUCCUACGGGAGGCAGCAGUGGGGAAUAUUGGACGAUGGGCGCAAGCCUGAUCCAGCCAUACCGCGUGGGUGAAGAAGGCCUUCGGGUUGUAAAGCCCUUUUGUUGGGAAAGAAAAGCAGCAGGUUAAUACCCCGCUGUUCUGACGGUACCCAAAGAAUAAGCACCGGCUAACUUCGUG